AUGGGUUUGGUUCCUUCCUUGCUACAGGCGGUGUUGUGCGCGGCGGUGGCGCUGGCGCUGUGCGCGGGCAGCAUUGACAUGUCGCCUGCGGCGAGGGGCGCGGGGUGCCGAAAGCACGUGCGGAGGGUCAUGGAGUACCGGGCGGUGGGGGACGGCAAGACGCUCAACAUGGCGGCGUUCGCCAGGGCGGUGGCGGACCUAGGCAGGCGCGCGGGCCACCGCGGCGUGGCGCUAGUGGUGCCGGCGGGGCGGUGGCUCACGGGGCCCUUCAACCUCACCAUCCACUUCACUCUCUUCCUCCACCGCGGCGCCGAGAUCCUCGCAUCCCAGGUGCGCCCCUCUUCUUCAGUUACCCGUGGGAUUAAUUAG
Molecule: ribosomal RNA, 369 nt
Filed under: Triticum aestivum (bread wheat)
Lineage: Eukaryota; Viridiplantae; Streptophyta; Magnoliopsida; Poales; Poaceae
Description: partial small subunit ribosomal RNA
Source: RNAcentral